UACGUAGGGUGCAAGCGUUGUCCGGAAUUAUUGGGCGUAAAGAGCUCGUAGGCGGUCUGUCGCGUCUGCUGUGAAAACUCAGGGCUUAACCCUGAGCUUGCAGUGGGUACGGGCAGACUAGAGUGCGGUAGGGGAGACUGGAAUUCCUGGGUGAUAGCGGUGAAAUGCGCAGAUAUCGAGGAGGAACACCGGUGGCGAAGGCGGGUCUCUGGGCCGUAACUGACGCUGGAGGAGCG
RNAcentral lists this ribosomal RNA (236 nucleotides) under uncultured bacterium. RNAcentral's name for it is "partial 16S ribosomal RNA". It matches the Rfam family "Bacterial small subunit ribosomal RNA", at positions 524 to 755 of the family's 1533-position model. The record is from RNAcentral.